UACGUAGGGGGCUAGCGUUGUCCGGAAUCAUUGGGCGUAAAGAGCGUGUAGGCGGUUCGGUAAGUCCGCUGUGAAAGUCCAGGGCUCAACCCUGGAAUGCCGGUGGAUACUGUCGGGCUAGAGUCCGGAAGAGGCGAGUGGAAUUCCUGGUGUAGCGGUGAAAUGCGCAGAUAUCAGGAGGAACACCAAUGGCGAAGGCAGCUCGCUGGGACGGUACUGACGCUGAGACGCGAAAGCGUGGGGAGCGAACAGG
This 253-nucleotide ribosomal RNA is filed under the name uncultured bacterium. RNAcentral describes it as "partial 16S ribosomal RNA". It matches the Rfam family "Bacterial small subunit ribosomal RNA", at positions 524 to 776 of the family's 1533-position model. The record is from RNAcentral.